This 63-nucleotide transfer RNA is filed under the name Staphylinidae sp. BMNH 1274634. RNAcentral's name for it is "tRNA-His". The record is from RNAcentral. Lineage: Eukaryota; Metazoa; Arthropoda; Insecta; Coleoptera; Staphylinidae.
AUUUAAAUAGUUUAUUUAAAAUAUUGAUUUGUGGAAUCAAAGAUAUGAUUAUCAUUUUAAAUA